AUAUAUCAACCUUCUCUUGUUGAGUGGUUUGGAUGUGGGGGUUUGCUGGCCUUUUUAAAGGUUUUUUAGCUCUCCUAAAAUACAUUAGCAGAACAACCCUGUUCAUUGGUGUGAUAACUAUCUACGCUAUUGAAUGUGAAAGGGGCAGUUUGGCUUUCUAACAGUCCUUCUUGGACAGCUCAUCUUUA
Molecule: unclassified non-coding RNA, 188 nt
Filed under: uncultured Cortinarius
Lineage: Eukaryota; Fungi; Basidiomycota; Agaricomycetes; Agaricales; Cortinariaceae
Description: sequence contains ITS2
Source: RNAcentral